RNAcentral lists this long non-coding RNA (1644 nucleotides) under Homo sapiens (human). Its description in RNAcentral is "HSALNT0208638". Lineage: Eukaryota; Metazoa; Chordata; Mammalia; Primates; Hominidae. The record is from RNAcentral.
GUUCCUUCAAGAGCAAGUGAAAGCUAGUGAAGAGGAAACAAACAGUACAGUUUAAAUCCCAUUAUAGAGGUAUUGAGAGGAUGCGUUGGGAGCAGGCAAGAAGAAUUACCAUGGGAAAAUCUGAGAAACAUUUUUAAGGGGAUGAAGAAUAGGAAAUUAUCGUAAGACACACUGGGAGAGAUACUGCUCAUGUCAAUUGGAAGAGCAACAUAAAAACAUGAAGAUGGCAACAAGGAUUCAAGCUUUGGGGUAUGAAAACAGUGUUCAAAUAAAGCUGCUAGAGGUGCUUUCAAACACUGCCAAAAACGAAGAUGACAUGAUGAUAAUCUAAUAGACUUGGAGCCAGCAUCUGACAACCAUCACCUCGAAUUGGAACUCAAGUCUGAAUUACAUGUGUUCCAUAAUCAAUUCCAUAUAUAUUUCUACUUCACACGGACCUUAAUUUGCCUAAUGGAAACAACCGGCGGUCACACCAAGCAGUGAGCAGGAAUGACAGUGUUGAAUGCUUCUCCUCAUGACUAGAGAGAGAAUUACUUUCAUUCUGUCAGAGGGGCAUGGAGCCUUAUUUUACUUCACCCCACACCCAAUCCACAUAUAUACUAUUUUCUCUAUAUUCAACACAGAUCCAGAAUCUUACUAUCCCUUACUACCUCCUCGGCUGCCUAUUUGGUCAAGUGACCAUCAUAUCUAGCCUGGAGUCUUGCUGUGGUUUUCUAACUGGUGUCUCUGCUCCACGUUUACCCUUCAACAGCAGUCUAUUAACACAGCAGCCAAAGUGACACUUUUUAAGUGUCACUGUGGUACUAUUCUACUCUCUGCUGGAAACCCUGCCAUGCCUCCCCAUUUAGCUCAGAGUGAUGGCCAAAGUCUUUCUCAUGAGCCCUAAAUCCCCAUUCCAUGAGCCUAUAAUUCGCCUUCUACUCUCUCCUUUCUUACUUGCUACAGCCACAGAAGACUUCUUGAUAUUCCCCAAAUAUUGUAAACAUCUUCUCAUCUGAGGGUCUUUCCUCCAGCUGGCCCUUCUACCUGGAACACUCCUUCCUCACAUAUUCUCUUGGAAAAAAUUUCCUCACAUUUUUUCUAGAAUGCAAAUUCAAAUCUCAUCUCCUCAGUGAGGUCUACUGUGACUGUCCUAUUUAAUGCUGCUACCUGAACAUAACCCUACAUUACUACUCUCCUCCAUAUUUUGCACAACUGUUUUUCUUUUCACAAUACUUAGUGUCUAUAUACUCUCUCUAUAUAAUUUACAGUAUUAACCAGCUUAGUCUAUCAUGCUAUGGUACCAAAUGACCUCAAUCAAUCACUUACAAAAACAUUUUAUUUCCAUGGACUUGACUUCAGUGUCGUCUUCAUUCUGAAUAUUCCAGGCUGAAUUGCCUUUCUCCUGAUAGAAAAGAGCAGAAACUUCUUCUUGGAAGUAGCAUCUGUUACUUCCACUGACAUUUCAUUAACUAAAACAAAUAAUAUGACCAAGCUAGAGGUAAGAAAUGUAGAAAGUGUAAUCCUCCCAUAGAAAAGGACUUAAUACUCAUUAAUGUUUAUUAUUUAUUAUUUGUUCCCCCAAGUAGUACAUUAGGGACAGGAUUCUUCAUAUAUUUUUCUCCUGAUAAAUAUUAAAUACCUAAAGUUUUGCAUACAGUAGCU